RNAcentral lists this ribosomal RNA (496 nucleotides) under uncultured bacterium. Its description in RNAcentral is "partial 16S ribosomal RNA". It matches the Rfam family "Bacterial small subunit ribosomal RNA", at positions 28 to 506 of the family's 1533-position model. The record is from RNAcentral.
GACGAACGCUGGCGGCGUGCCUAAUACAUGCAAGUUGAGCGCUGAAGGUUGGUACUUGUACCAACUGGAUGAGCAGCGAACGGGUGAGUAACGCGUGGGGAAUCUGCCUUUGAGCGGGGGACAACAUUUGGAAACGAAUGCUAAUACCGCAUAAAAACUUUAAACACAAGUUUUAAGUUUGAAAGAUGCAAUUGCAUCACUCAAAGAUGAUCCCGCGUUGUAUUAGCUAGUUGGUGAGGUAAAGGCUCACCAAGGCGAUGAUACAUAGCCAACCUGAGAGGGUGAUCGGCCACAUUGGGACUGAGACACGGCCCAAACUCCUACGGGAGGCAGCAGUAGGGAAUCUUCGGCAAUGGACGAAAGUCUGACCGAGCAACGCCGCGUGAGUGAAGAAGGUUUUCGGAUCGUAAAACUCUGUUGGUAGAGAAGAACGUUGGUGAGAGUGGAAAGCUCAUCAAGUGACGGUAACUACCCAGAAAGGGACGGCUAACUACGU